This 705-nucleotide ribosomal RNA is filed under the name uncultured soil archaeon. RNAcentral's name for it is "bacterial SSU rRNA". It matches the Rfam family "Archaeal small subunit ribosomal RNA", at positions 170 to 864 of the family's 1478-position model. The record is from RNAcentral.
CUGGAAUGGGUUUUUGCCGAAAAGACGUUUAGGCGCACGCCUCUCUAUUGCCCAAGGAUGGGGCCGCGGCCGAUCAGGUUGUUGGUGAGGUAAUAGCUCACCAAGCCUUAACCGGUCGGGCCGUGGGAGCGGUAGCCCGGAGAUGGGCACUGAGACAAGGGCCCAGGCCCUACGGGGCGCAGCAGUCGCGAAAACUUCGCAAUAAGCGAAAGCUUGACGGGGCCAUCCCGAGUGCCAUCUGCUGAGGAUGGCUUUUACCCAGUAUAGAUAGCUGGGGGAAUAAGGAGAGGGCAAGUCUGGUGUCAGCCGCCGCGGUAAUACCAGCUCUCCGAGUUGUGGGGACGUUUAUUGAGCCUAAAGCAUCCGUAGCCGGCUGGGCAAGUCCUCUGUUAAAUCCAGCGACAAAUCGUUGGCCUGCGGGGGAUACUGCUCGGCUAGGGGGCGGGAGAGGCCGUCGGUAUUCUUGGGGUAGGGGUGAAAUCCUAUAAUCCCAGGAGGACCACCAGUGGCGAAGGCUGUCGGCUAGAACGCGCCCGACGGUGAGGGAUGAAAGCUGGGGGAGCGAACCGGAUUAGAUACCCGGGUAGUCCCAGCUGUAAACGAUGCAGGCUAGGUGUUAGGGCGGCUACGUGCCGCUCUAGUGCCGCAGGGAAGCUGUUAAGCCUGCCGCUUGGGGAGUACGCCGCAAGGCUGAACUUAAAGGAC